This 228-nucleotide unclassified non-coding RNA is filed under the name uncultured fungus. RNAcentral describes it as "sequence contains ITS1, 5.8S rRNA gene". The record is from RNAcentral. Lineage: Eukaryota; Fungi.
UCUCCGUAGGUGAACCUGCGGAGGGAUCAUUACUGAGUGAGGGUCUCCGGGCCCGACCUCCAACCCUUUUGUGAACCACCUCGUUGCUUCGGGGGCGACCCUGCCGUUUCGAUGGCGAGCGCCCCCGGAGGCCUUCAAACACUGCAUUCUCUGCGUCGGAGUAUUAGUAAAUCUAAUCAAAACUUUCAACAACGGAUCUCUUGGUUCCAGCAUCGUGAAGAACGCAGC